CACAUGCUACAGGAGUAAAAAUUCUUAAACAUCAGUGGGCUGCUGCUCUUCAGGCCCAAACACCCACUUCAAUGGUGCGUGUUCUUCUGACGGCUGCCUUCCCACUGGAGGUUUUGAUCCAGAGCAAUUUAAAAGGACACAGCAAAACAGACAUCGGCGCAGAGCGAAGAACUGCCCUUGAUAAAGAAACCAUGACAGCCAUAUAUAUGGCAGUCAGGAAGAGGUUCCCCAAUGUAUCCAGAGGGGCUUUGGGGAUUGCAGUCAAUUCAAAGCUAGGGGAACUCAGACUGUUGGAGAAGAAAAAAGUUACAUCUUAAGUAUGUAUUAUGUUCACAUACACCCCCCAC
This is a long non-coding RNA of Oreochromis niloticus (Nile tilapia), 347 nucleotides long. RefSeq lists it as uncharacterized. The transcript has 3 exons. Lineage: Eukaryota; Metazoa; Chordata; Actinopteri; Cichliformes; Cichlidae. The record is from RefSeq and is a predicted model, not a curated record.